RNAcentral lists this ribosomal RNA (417 nucleotides) under Sellaphora terrestris. RNAcentral describes it as "SSU rRNA". It matches the Rfam family "Eukaryotic small subunit ribosomal RNA", at positions 608 to 1032 of the family's 1831-position model. Lineage: Eukaryota; Bacillariophyta; Bacillariophyceae; Sellaphorales; Sellaphoraceae. The record is from RNAcentral.
CGUUGUUGCAGUUAAAAAGCUCGUAGUUGAUUUGUGGCGUUCCGUGCGGUCCAAAAUCUUUUUGGUGCUGUCGCGUGUAUGCCAUCCUUGGGUGGAAUCUGUGUGGCAUUAGGUUGUCGUGCAGGGGAUGCCCAUCGUUUACUGUGAAAAAAUUAGAGUGUUCAAAGCAGGCUUAUGCCGUUGAAUAUAUUAGCAUGGAAUAAUGAGAUAGGACCUUGGUACUAUUUUGUUGGUUUGCGCACCGAGGUAAUGAUUAAUAGGGACAGUUGGGGGUAUUCGUAUUCCAUUGUCAGAGGUGAAAUUCUUGGAUUUUUGGAAGACGAACUACUGCGAAAGCAUUUACCAAGGAUGUUUUCAUUAAUCAAGAACGAAAGUUAGGGGAUCGAAGAUGAUUAGAUACCAUCGUAGUCUUAACCA